Molecule: non-coding RNA, 107 nt
Organism: Punica granatum (pomegranate)
Lineage: Eukaryota; Viridiplantae; Streptophyta; Magnoliopsida; Myrtales; Lythraceae
Source: Rfam
AAUCCGUGAUGUGGGCACUUUCUGAUUGCCUCCUUGAAUCUCUCCCAUGCCUCAUAAAGUGAUUCACCAUUGAACUUGGUGAAGUUAGUGAUUUCGUUCCUCAAUCU